RNAcentral lists this non-coding RNA (29 nucleotides) under Rattus norvegicus (Norway rat). The record is from RNAcentral. Lineage: Eukaryota; Metazoa; Chordata; Mammalia; Rodentia; Muridae.
UGACACAAAAAGGGGCAUAUGUGCAUGGU